Molecule: transfer RNA, 73 nt
Filed under: Mycobacterium palustre
Lineage: Bacteria; Bacillati; Actinomycetota; Actinomycetes; Mycobacteriales; Mycobacteriaceae
Description: tRNA-Ser
Rfam family: tRNA
About the family: Transfer RNA (tRNA) molecules are approximately 80 nucleotides in length. Their secondary structure includes four short double-helical elements and three loops (D, anti-codon, and T loops).
Source: RNAcentral
CAUGUUGUAGCUCAGCGGAUAGAGCGCCCGCCUGCUAAGCGGGAGGCCGCGGGUUCGAAUCCCGCCAACAUCU